CAGUGAAAUUGAACUCGCUGUGAAGAUGCAGUGUACCCGCGGCAAGACGGAAAGACCCCGUGAACCUUUACUAUAGCUUGACACUGAACAUUGAGCCUUGAUGUGUAGGAUAGGUGGGAGGCUUUGAAGUGUGGACGCCAGUCUGCAUGGAGCCGACCUUGAAAUACCACCCUUUAAUGUUUGAUGUUCUAACGUGGACCCGUAAUCCGGGUUGCGGACAGUGUCUGGUGGGUAGUUUGACUGGGGCGGUCUCCUCCUAAAGAGUAACGGAGGAGCACGAAGGUUGGCUAAUCCUGGUCGGACAUCAGGAGGUUAGUGCAAUGGCAUAAGCCAGCUUGACUGCGAGCGUGACGGCGCGAGCAGGUGCGAAAGCAGGUCAUAGUGAUCCGGUGGUUCUGAAUGGAAGGGCCAUCGCUCAACGGAUAAAAGGUACUCCGGGGAUAACAGGCUGAUACCGCCCAAGAGUUCAUAUCGACGGCGGUGUUUGGCACCUCGAUGUCGGCUCAUCACAUCCUGGGGCUGAAGUAGGUCCCAAGGGUAUGGCUGUUCGCCAUUUAAAGUGGUACGCGAGCUGGGUUUAGAACGUCGUGAGACAGUUCGGUCCCUA
Molecule: ribosomal RNA, 607 nt
Filed under: Escherichia coli
Lineage: Bacteria; Pseudomonadati; Pseudomonadota; Gammaproteobacteria; Enterobacterales; Enterobacteriaceae
Description: partial 23S ribosomal RNA
Rfam family: Bacterial large subunit ribosomal RNA
Source: RNAcentral